CAGUCGCCGCGGUAACACGAAGGGGGCUAGCGUUGCUCGGAAUGACUGGGCGUAAGGGGCGCGUAGGCGGCUGUUACAGUCAGACGUGAAAUUCCUGGGCUCAACCUGGGGGCUGCGUUUGAUACGUGAUGGCUUGAGUUCGGAAGAGGGUCGUGGAAUUCCCAGUGUAGAGGUGAAAUUCGUAGAUAUUGGGAAGAACACCGGUGGCGAAGGCGACGACCUGGUCCGAUACUGACGCUGAGGCGCGAAAGCGUGGGGAGCAAACAGGAUUAGAUACCCCUGUAGUCCCUGUCUCUUAUAC
This 301-nucleotide ribosomal RNA is filed under the name uncultured bacterium. Its description in RNAcentral is "partial 16S ribosomal RNA". It matches the Rfam family "Bacterial small subunit ribosomal RNA", at positions 509 to 807 of the family's 1533-position model. The record is from RNAcentral.